AUGCAUCUAGGCUAGAAACAUGGGGCUGCAAUCAAUGUUCUAUAUUCAAGCUACUUGUCAAAAAUAUAUAUUUAAAUUCUAGUUGUGUCUUAAACAUUUUUGUUGAUGCUGUUUGUAAAUAAGCAAAUGAAUGACUCACAACCUAUUAUUUCUCCAUUUCUACACUCUAUCCACUAUUGACAGUUUUCUAUGUAAAGCCAACCAUAAUAUGAACUGCUGCCUUGGGAUCUAACCUUGAACCAACAACAAUUUACUCCAUAUGACUUUAGGGUGUUGUGGAAUCACUGG
RNAcentral lists this long non-coding RNA (288 nucleotides) under Solanum tuberosum (potato). RNAcentral describes it as "long non-coding RNA (STUB_LNC008129)". The record is from RNAcentral. Lineage: Eukaryota; Viridiplantae; Streptophyta; Magnoliopsida; Solanales; Solanaceae.